UUAAAGUUUGAUUCUAGCUUGUUAAGUUUGCCUUUUUUUAAUUGUACAUGUAAAUUUUUGUGUGAUAGUCUUUUUCUAAAUGAGUUUUAGUUUUAGUCGCAGUUUUUUAUUUUAUUUUUUAUAUAAGUAUAGAUAUAGUUUAUUUAAAGAGCUCUGACUAAUAUUGUGCCAGCAGUCGCGGUUAUACAAUUAGAGCUAGUGAGUUUUUUUGGUUUUGUAUUUAAUUUGUAUUUUUUAUUUACUUUUGGAAUUUUGGGGUGAAAUCGAGAUUCUAAUUUGGAUAAUUUUGAAUGAUUAAAUAUGAAAGUUUAGGAUGAGACUGGGAUUAGAGACCCCAUUAUUAUGAACUGUUAAUUUUUGACCUUGGUAUUAAUAGGUAUGAUCUUUAAAUUAAAAGAGUUUGGCGGUAAUUUAGUCUGUUCAGAGGAAUCUGCCCUAUAAUUGAUGAUCCACGAUGAAUUUCACUUUAUUUAGGCUUGUAUAUCUCUGUCAUUGAAUGUCUUAUUAGGGUAAUUUUCGUUAAUCAUUCAUGUGGAUAAUGUCAGGUCAAGGUGCAGCAAUAAUAAAGAAGAGGUGGAUUACAUUAAAUUUAUUUAUGGAGGGACAUAUGAAAAUUAGUCUUGAAAUUGGAUUUGAGAGUAACUUCUGUUAGAAUACAGAAUUGAUUUAGCUCUAAAUUAUGUACAUAUCGCCCGUCACUCUCGUUUUUAAAAUGAGAUAAGUCGUAACAAAGUAGGCUUACUGGAAGGUGGGCCUGGAUAUAU
RNAcentral lists this non-coding RNA (764 nucleotides) under Linshcosteus costalis. The record is from RNAcentral. Lineage: Eukaryota; Metazoa; Arthropoda; Insecta; Hemiptera; Reduviidae.